RNAcentral lists this ribosomal RNA (440 nucleotides) under uncultured bacterium. Its description in RNAcentral is "bacterial SSU rRNA". It matches the Rfam family "Bacterial small subunit ribosomal RNA", at positions 338 to 795 of the family's 1533-position model. The record is from RNAcentral.
CCUACGGGGGGCUGCAGUGGGGAAUAUUGCACAAUGGGCGCAAGCCAGAUGCAGCGACGCCGCGUGAGCGAUGAAGGCCUUCGGGUCGUAAAGCUCUGUCCUAAGGGAAGAAAAAUGACGGUACCUUAGGAGGAAGCCCCGGCUAACCACGUGCCAGCAGCCGCGGUAAUACGUAGGGGGCGAGCGUUAUCCGGAAUCACUGGUCGUUGAGGGUUCGUAGACGGCCAUGCAAGUCAGGCGUUACAUCCCUCGGCUCAACCGAGGUCAGCUCUUGAAACUGUAGGGCUUGAGUGCAGGAGACGAGUGCGGAAUUUAUGAGGUAGCGGUGAAAGGCGUAGAUAUUAGGUGGAACAACAGUGGCGAAGGCGGCUCUCUGGACUGCAACUGACGCUGCCGAACGAAAGCGUGGGGAUCUAACAGGAUUAGAUACCCUUGUAGUC